Molecule: ribosomal RNA, 422 nt
Filed under: uncultured Glomeraceae
Lineage: Eukaryota; Fungi; Glomeromycota; Glomeromycetes; Glomerales; Glomeraceae
Description: SSU rRNA
Rfam family: Eukaryotic small subunit ribosomal RNA
Source: RNAcentral
GGGAGGUAGUGACAAUAAAUAACAAUACGGGGUUCUUUAGGAUUUCGUAAUUGGAAUGAGUACAAUUUAAAUCUCUUAACGAGGAACAAUUGGAGGGCAAGUCUGGUGCCAGCAGCCGCGGUAAUUCCAGCUCCAAUAGCGUAUAUUAAAGUUGUUGCAGUUAAAAAGCUCGUGGUUGAAUUUCGGGAUCAAUUUAUCGGUCGUGCCUCUGGUAUGCACUGGUAUUAUUGAUUUCUACCUUCUGACGAACCAUGAUGUCAUUAAUUUGGUGUCAUGGGGAAUCAGGACUGUUACUUUGAAAAAUUAGAGUGUUUAAAGCAAGCACACGCUUGAAUACAUUAGCAUGGAAUAAUGAAAUAGGACGUUUGACCCUAUUUUGUUGGUUUCUAGGAUCGACGUAAUGAUUAAUAGGGAUAGUUGGG